Molecule: ribosomal RNA, 832 nt
Filed under: Pristimantis samaniegoi
Lineage: Eukaryota; Metazoa; Chordata; Amphibia; Anura; Strabomantidae
Description: partial large subunit ribosomal RNA
Rfam family: Bacterial large subunit ribosomal RNA
Source: RNAcentral
AUUCAAUACCCAUAUUAACCCCUUCAACUAUACUGAGAACUUCUAUAACCCUAUAGAACCUUUUAUGCUAAAACUAGUAACAAGAGAAAACCCUCUCUCAUAAUGCAAACAUAAGCCAGCAAGAACCCAUCACUGGCAAUUAACAACCCUAAACUAAAGUAGCAACCUCACUAGAAACCCCUACUCCCACUGACUGUUAACCUAACACCAGAGCAUUUCAAGAAAGAUUAAAAGAAAAAGAAGGAACUCGGCAAAUCCAAAGUCCCGCCUGUUUACCAAAAACAUCGCCUCUUGCUCACCAUAAGAGGUCCAACCUGCCCAGUGACCCUGUUCAACGGCCGCGGUAUCCUAACCGUGCGAAGGUAGCGUAAUCACUUGUUUUUUAAAUAAAGACCUGUAUGAAGGGUAUAACGAGGACUAAACUGUCUCCUUUUUCCAAUCAGUGAACCUAAUCUCCCCGUGAAAAAGCGGGAAUUCCUAUAUAAGACGAGAAGACCCUGUGGAGCUUAAAACAUCAUAACACCUGCCCCACCUUUAACCAUCCCAGUAUAUCCAACCGGCACCCUGAUUAUAUGUUUUUGGUUGGGGUGACCGCGGAGAAAACCCCAUCCUCCGCGAUGAAAGGGGCCCCCCCCCCUUAAACAAUAAGUUACAACUUUAUGUAUCAAUAAAUUGACAUCCAUUGACCCAAUAAAUUGAUUAACGAACCAAGUUACCCCAGGGAUAACAGCGCAAUCCACUUCAAAAGUCCCUAUCGACAAGUGGGCUUACAACCUCGAUGUUGGAUCGGGAUAUCCUAGUGGUGCAGCCGCUACUAAAGGUUCGUUUGUUC